AUGUCCCACUCGUACCCUCCGGCUCUGAGCGCGCCGUCCGCGCCAACCUGACAGCUGCUCGCUACGUUUUGUUAGCC
RNAcentral lists this small RNA (77 nucleotides) under Xanthomonas phaseoli pv. phaseoli. Its description in RNAcentral is "sX9 sRNA". It matches the Rfam family "Xanthomonas sRNA sX9". RNAcentral also lists the same sequence under 2 other names. Lineage: Bacteria; Pseudomonadati; Pseudomonadota; Gammaproteobacteria; Lysobacterales; Lysobacteraceae. The record is from RNAcentral.